This 3399-nucleotide long non-coding RNA is filed under the name Olea europaea (common olive). RNAcentral describes it as "long non-coding RNA (OEUR_LNC012856)". Lineage: Eukaryota; Viridiplantae; Streptophyta; Magnoliopsida; Lamiales; Oleaceae. The record is from RNAcentral.
CGGGUGUGAACAGUAUCCGUGAACAGUGACUUUUUUUUUUUGCCUAAUCAACUAGAAAGAAAAUUGAACAAGAAAACUGCUGCCUCAUAACAAUUUUGUUUGUUUGUGCUGUUCCACAAGUUUUUGGGAAGAGGAUAGGAAGAAAGUUUUGGAUUGUGAAUGAAAAAUUAUCCAAAUUUUGGCUCUGAUACCACUUUGAUGUAGGAUGAAUAACAAGAAAUAAGAAGGAGAAAGAGGAGGGGAGAGGAGAAGAGGGGGAAACCGGGGGGAGAAAACACAGAGGCUGCAACCAACUUCAUUCAAUUAAUUUAUCAACUGUCUCAAAUACGCAACAAAAUAGAAAUAAAUAACAAAACAAAAACUCUAAAGAGAAGGGCUUGUGCCAAACCCACUAAACAAGCCUAAUAAUAGAAAUAUAAAUAAUAAUCUAAAUAGAAUAUAAUUAAUAGUCCAAAUAGAAAAUAAAUAGUAAAUGGAAGAAAAUAAAUAGUAAAUGAAUGUCCACAUCAACUUUGAUGUAGGAUGAAUAAUAAGAAAUAAGAAGGAGAAAGGGAAGAGGAGGGGAGAGGAGAAGAGGGGGAAAUUGGGGGGAGAAAACACAGAGGCUGCAACCAACUUUAUUCAAUUAAUUCAUCAACUGUCUCAAAUACGCAACAAAAUAGAAAUAAAUAACAAAACAAAAACCCUAAAGAGAAGGAUUUGGGCCAAACCCGCUAAACAAGCCUAAUAACAGAAAUAUAAAUAAUAAUCCAAAUAGAAUAUAACUAAUAGUUCAAAUAGAAAAUAAAUAGUAAAUGGAAGAAAAUAAAUAGUAAAUGGAUGUCCGCAUCAAAUAGCUUCGCAAACUUCUCUUUCAUUGUUUCAACAUCUGAAUUCUGACUCAGUUUUUCAUUUUUACAUUGUUGUGGGCUUGCAGAGAAGUCCCAUUCGUCUGUGCCACGAUCGUCCUUUUUCCUGAUCGUCCAGAGAGAAGAGAAUGACCCAAAAACAGUAUUGCUGGACGAGCAGCUUCAGUCAUCUUCAUCCAAGGAAUCGGUGAUAUGUCCAUCUCCACUGCUAGUGCUACUAGCAUUAUUGAAAGAGUGACUGUUGAGAAUACAGCUCUCAAGGCCAUUAUAUGUCACUAUUCCUGCAAGUUUCAGUUUUAAUUUAGUUUUUAUUAUACAAGUUAGAAGAUUUGAAUAAAUGAAAGAAGAAGUAUACUAAUAAUCAAGUACAGGAACACUCCGGUGAAGUUGUCAUUAGACAACAUCUCAAUAAUGAAUCUGGCCAGCACGUGAAGAGGGAUUUCAUAUUUAUUUAUUUAAAUGUUGAUCUGACGUGUGAUAACAAAUAGGUUCAACACAUGCCAUACUCAAAACACCAGCUGCUAAAUAAACCACAUCUAAAUUAAACAUAAAGAUUCACCUAAUACACCUUAUCAUGGAAUCAAUCAGAAAUCUUCAUAUUGCACCUAAAAACAUGAAAAAUGCAAUCCACAACAAAUUUAAAAUAAUUAGAAGAUCACAAAAAAGAAAAAGAAAAAGAAAAUCUUUAUUUUUUAAGUUGGACCUUGGACCAGGUCUUUCAUUUUUAAUUACAAGACAUGAAAGUUAUCGAGGAUGAAUUAAAAAAAAAAAUGAUAGAAGGUCCAAUUAAAAGAUUGCAAGGCAACUGCUUGAAUCAAAACAUAUCCAAAAAAAAUAAAACAAAAAUAAAACCACAAAAAAUAAUAAUAAUAAUAAUAAUAAAAAAAAAAACAAAAGAAUGUGAAACAGAUGGUAUAGAAAAGAGAAUCCUAUAACAGAUGUUGAUCCAUAUGAAAAACACAACUAUAUUAUGACGAAUUUUCAGAGAACAAUGACUUCUUUGUCUCUAUUCAGUUAUUUCAUUGUCUGAAAUAAAUGAAACUUAUAAAUAAUUGUAUUGUAGUAAGGUCAACCAUUCCUGUCAAUCAUUUACAUUUUAAGGGCCACUGAAAUUUCAUGGGGCCUCCAUUACUGAGUGGUAUUGAAUUGAUGAAUCACUAUCACUUUUAUGUGAUACAUUCUUACAUAACCAGACUUUUCCCUCUUGUUGCCAUCUACAAAAGCACUAAGAAAGAAUGGACAAAAAAUUUUGAAUUGAUGGGGCCACAGCAUUUGAUUUGCAGGUCCAAUAAGUAACGAAUAAAAGGUCCCACCAAACUUAAUGAUCAAUGACUCAAUAAGAUCAAUUGAAAACCCGCAACAUGUGAACAGUUUUUGAGCAUGUUUGGCAAAGAUUUUUCAAGCUUAUAAGUUGGUCAAGCAUCAUUCUUAAGCAGACAUGUUUUAGAAUCCACAACUUUUAUCUACUUUUAAAGUGCACAUUCUUUGGGACACGAGCAAAUAAGCAUAAAAAAGCUUUGCCAAGCAAACUUCAUAAAUAAGUGACAACAAUACUUAAACUUAAGACCUUUAUCUGAUACCAUUUUCAUCACAAAACAUAUGUUUGGUCUUGCUCUGAUACCAUCAUCUAAAAGCUUAAGUCGUUACAGGAAGGACAAAUUCAUUUAUAUAAAAUUACUUCUUCGAUGGUUUCUGAUAAUAGGAUAGCAAAACUCAAAAUACUCUUCAACACUGGCUUCACAUUCAAUCUAUAAUUUCAAUAGUCAAGUGACAUGAAUAUUACUUCUUGGGCAGUGUGAAGUAAAUAUGACUCAAUAAAUAGAGUUCCCCACAUGGCCAAACCUCACAUGAUACUAUAUGGAAGCAAUUUUUAUUGAGUUUUGACCAUUAAAAACAGAACAUUUUCAUGUUCUGAGCCAUAUUCAAGUAAUUAAAAAGCAUCUAAUUUCAACUCAAAUUUGCAUCCCCAAGACUUCUUCACAUUUAUGGCUCGUUCAGGAGGUGGCAUUGAAUAUUACUCCAAAGUCAUAUCUACUAAUGUAUACGAAACAAGAAUUCAAAGAAAUUCAAAUUCUCCAAUACAGACAUAUUUUUGUAGAUGAGCCAUGUCACCUUUGAAGCAAUAUUCAUGCACUUUUUCUAGGCAAAAAAAAAAAAAAUCCUAUUUUUUAGCUGAAGUUUUGUGAUUUCAUUCAUGAAAGUUGAAAUAAAAAUUAAGCCCAUUUUGAAUCACAAAAAAGCCAAGAUUUUUCAAUCAAACUCUUGGAGUCUGUCCCAUUCCCCCACCCCUACCCACAAAUAAAAUACAGGAAAAAAUGGAGAAAACAGAAGAAGAAUGAGGGAGUGGCAUACCUCGUGUAAUCAAAUGGGUAGCGAAUUCUUGAAACACUGUGUAUUUUGGUAUAAACGUAGACUGUCAGAGACUCAGAGAGACGUGAGAAGAUGGGAAUUGAGGAGUCAAAAACAGACGGCAAUGGAGCCGUUGCUUAAAUGAAAUCAACAAGUUUCAGAAGUUAUAGGAAAAUUUAGAGAGAGAAAAAUGUAGUUUCGA